AGAGUUUGAUCCUGGCUCAGAUUGAACGCUGGCGGCAGGCUUAACACAUGCAAGUCGAGCGGUAACAGAGAGUAGCUUGCUACUCUGCUGACGAGCGGCGGACGGGUGAGUAACACUUGGGAAUCUGCCUUUUGGAGGGGGAUAACCACUGGAAACGGUGGCUAAUACCGCAUAAUGCUUUCGAGCCAAAGCGGGGGAUCUUCGGACCUCGCGCCAUUAGAUGAGCCCAAGCAAGAUUAGGUAGUUGGUGGGGUAAAGGCCUACCAAGCCGACGAUCUUUAGCUGGUCUGAGAGGAUGAUCAGCCACACUGGGACUGAGACACGGCCCAGACUCCUACGGGAGGCAGCAGUGGGGAAUAUUGGACAAUGGGCGCAAGCCUGAUCCAGCCAUGCCGCGUGUGUGAAGAAGGCCUUCGGGUUGUAAAGCACUUUCAGUGGUGAGGAAGGCCUAAUAGUUAAUAGCUAUUAGGAUUGACGCUAGCCACAGAAGAAGCACCGGCUAACUCCGUGCCAGCAGCCGCGGUAAUACGGAGGGUGCGAGCGUUAAUCGGAAUUACUGGGCGUAAAGCGCACGUAGGCGGUUUGUUAAGCUAGAUGUGAAAGCCCCGGGCUUAACCUGGGAAUUGCAUUUAGAACUGGCAGGCUAGAGUUUUGAAGAGGGUGGUAGAAUUUCCAGUGUAGCGGUGAAAUGCGUAGAUAUUGGAAGGAAUAUCAGUGGCGAAGGCGGCCACCUGGUCAAAAACUGACGCUGAGGAGCGAAAGCGUGGGGAGCAAACAGGAUUAGAUACCCUGGUAGUCCACGCUGUAAACGAUGUCGACUAGUUGUUCGUGUCAUAAACGAUGUGAGUAACGCAGCUAACGCACUAAGUCGACCGCCUGGGGAGUACGGCCGCAAGGUUAAAACUCAAAUGAAUUGACGGGGGCCCGCACAAGCGGUGGAGCAUGUGGUUUAAUUCGAUGCAACGCGAAGAACCUUACCAUCCCUUGACAUCCAGUGAAUCUUCUAGAGAUAGAGGAGUGCCUUCGGGAGCACUGAGACAGGUGCUGCAUGGCUGUCGUCAGCUCGUGUUGUGAGAUGUUGGGUUAAGUCCCGCAACGAGCGCAACCC
Molecule: ribosomal RNA, 1108 nt
Filed under: uncultured bacterium
Lineage: Bacteria
Description: bacterial SSU rRNA
Rfam family: Bacterial small subunit ribosomal RNA
Source: RNAcentral